This is a non-coding RNA of Delphinapterus leucas (beluga whale), 377 nucleotides long. NCBI's taxonomy places the organism in Eukaryota, Metazoa, Chordata, Mammalia, Artiodactyla, Monodontidae. The record is from RefSeq and is a predicted model, not a curated record.
CAGGUGUUAAUUCCAAGGAUACCCAACCCCAAUAAAUAUUGCUGCACCUUUAACGGUUUCAGAGUCUGCUCCCCAGAAAACCCAACUUGUGACAGAUUUCUACUCUAUGGGGCUUCUGGUCUGCCAUCCUUCACUGACUUCACCUUGUCGUGCUAAUGCCCAAGGCAAGUAGAGGACCAGAGAAACCCUGGUGGAAGAAGAAUGAAGCAGCAGCUAUGCUGAUGACGGAAGUGAAUUGUCUGGUUUAAUUCUUAGAAGCCACUCUACAACGACGACUCAGGACUGUGUGUUCUCAGUUACCUCCUGCUGGCUUGGAGCACGUGUGUGGACAUUUUGUUUUGGAGAAAGGCCGUGGGUGGAGUCAAAGAACUUCGGAC